GUGGGGAAUCUUCCGCAAUGGACGAAAGUCUGACGGAGCAACGCCGCGUGAGUGAUGAAGGUCUUCGGAUUGUAAAGCUCUGUUAAUCGGGACGAAAGAGCCUAGUGUGAAUAAUGCUAGGAAGUGACGGUACCGGAAUAGAAAGCCACGGCUAACUACGUGCCAGCAGCCGCGGUAAUACGUAGGUGGCAAGUGUUGUCCGGAAUUAUUGGGCGUAAAGCGCGCGCAGGCGGAUCUGCCAGUCUGUCUUAAAAGUUCGGGGCUUAACCCCGUGAUGGGAUGGAAACUACAGAUCUAGAGUAUCGGAGAGGAAAGUGGAAUUCCAAGUGUAGCGGUGAAAUGCGUAGAGAUUUGGAAGAACACCAGUGGCGAAGGCGACUUUCUGGACGAUGUCUGACGCUGAGGCGCGAAAGCUAGGGGAGCGAACGGGAUUAGAAACCCGUGUAGUCC
Molecule: ribosomal RNA, 450 nt
Filed under: uncultured bacterium
Lineage: Bacteria
Description: partial 16S ribosomal RNA
Rfam family: Bacterial small subunit ribosomal RNA
Source: RNAcentral